Molecule: transfer RNA, 85 nt
Filed under: Trueperaceae bacterium
Lineage: Bacteria; Thermotogati; Deinococcota; Deinococci; Trueperales; Trueperaceae
Also listed under: 1 other name
Description: tRNA-Leu
Rfam family: tRNA
About the family: Transfer RNA (tRNA) molecules are approximately 80 nucleotides in length. Their secondary structure includes four short double-helical elements and three loops (D, anti-codon, and T loops). Further hydrogen bonds mediate the characteristic L-shaped molecular structure. tRNAs have two regions of fundamental functional importance: the anti-codon, which is responsible for specific mRNA codon recognition, and the 3' end, to which the tRNAs corresponding amino acid is attached (by aminoacyl-tRNA synthetases). tRNAs cope with the degeneracy of the genetic code in two manners: having more than one tRNA (with a specific anti-codon) for a particular amino acid; and 'wobble' base-pairing, i.e. permitting non-standard base-pairing at the 3rd anti-codon position.
Source: RNAcentral
GCCGGGAUGGCGAAAUUGGUAGACGCAGUAGAUUCAAAAUCUACCGGGGCAACCCAUGCGGGUUCGAGUCCCGCUCUCGGCACCA